AUUUCAAUAAAUGUGCAAUUAUUUGUCAAUUGUUUCUCAGUUACAUUUUUAACAUUUCAAAUGAGGAAUAUAAUCUCACAUCAAUGGUAUCACAAAGUUAGCUGUUGAACAAAUCAAACCAGAAUUGAGUUUAUUAAAUUCAUUCACAAUAUGUGCACUCACAAAUAUUUGGUUUAGCUACAUAUAUUUUGCAUUUCAUAACUGAGGAGUCAAGUUUUUUUUUUUUUUUUAACAUUUAGUGCCUGUGAACAUAAACCCUGUCUACUUUGAUUUGAUUGGCCAUCACAAGCACUUUGACAUUGAUGAGCGCUGUAAGACCGCUGAGACAUCUCAUAUGAGAAGAUCUAUCUUGGCUUUGUAUCCUUGCAGCACCAGAGCAGAAUUGAUAUAUGGUAAUUAUUUUACAACUUUUGUUAUUGGAAAAAUACCCAAUGGUGGGUAUGGCCCUGAUGGUAGGAGAAAUCAUGUGCCUGUGUGAUGGGUCCCAGUGAUGUAGUGUAUAUGGAGAAGAUGAGGGGUCCAAGGACUGAGCCCUGAGGAACCCCGGUGCCCAGUUGAUGUGCUUUGGAUACCUCCCCUCCCCAGGCCACCCCGAUAAUGAGAUGGGAUUCAAACCAGCGAAGUGAAAUCCCUGUGAUGCCCAGUGAUGAGAGGGCAGACAGGAGGAUCUGAUGAUUCAGUGUCAAAAGCAGCAGACAGAUCCAGCAGAAUGAGAAUGAUGAUUUGGAAUCAGCUUUCGCAAUCCUCAAGUGUUUGCGCUAUGACUGGAAGGAGAGAGAUAGAACUGCUUUCCUUUGGCUGACAGAUGAUACCUCAACCCUUGACCUUCAGCGCUGAACUGACCACUGCUGACUGACAGGACUGGAUCUGCUUCAGAGAAAAC
Molecule: long non-coding RNA, 883 nt
Organism: Cyprinus carpio carpio
Lineage: Eukaryota; Metazoa; Chordata; Actinopteri; Cypriniformes; Cyprinidae
Source: Ensembl